UUGAGCGGAGUUUAGCGGGUACAUUUUCGAUCUCGAUUCGAUAGCACAGCUAAGUGAAGGGGCAUUGUUUUGAUGAAGAAGAUCCAGUCUGAUAAAAACGAACGAGAUUAGAGGUUAUCUCGGGUUUGUUUAUCCGGUUCACGAGGCGAUGAGAGCGUAACUCGACUUUUUUUCUGGCAGGUUAUUUUUUUACUUAGAAAAGUCCGAAUGCUAACUAGCCUCCAGAGCUAACGUCAGCUAACUAACUGGAGUGUUGUGAUGUCCUGCGGCGGUGCAACGUUUUCUUGUUUCGUUGUCAACUCCAGCAGCUCGUAAAGAACAGAAAGCCGGCGUUUUGGAUGGCGGUGGCUCCUGCCUGGAUGGCAGAUAAAAUCAUUGUGCUUGAUGAGGAAGACAAAGAAGAAGAGAGUCCUCAGCCCUCCUCCUCUGCCUCCAAAUCAAGCCCUGACCUUCAAGCCAAAAAUGUCUCGCCGCUCAAAGCUCAGCAGCCAGUGCCCACACACAUUACCCAGUCACCCUUCGCUACAGCGAAGAAGACCACGCAGUGUCUGCAGGCAGAGAAUCAGAAGUUGUUCACUGAGUUUGUGGAGCACUGCAGGCCCCUCACAGAGGACUGCCCAGAGGUCUUGACCUUCCUCCAGACAAAGCACUCCAAGGCCUGCCCAGACUUCCUGUCAUCAGUUGAGUUGAGGAACACUUUGGGACGAUGUUUGACUCGCGCUCAGGCCAACCGCUCUAAAACAUUUGUCUACAUCAAUGAACUGUGUACUGUGCUCAAGCAGCAUGCCAUCAAGAAGAGGCAAACCCUCUCCAAGGUUGACCCUGGGCCUUCUACCUCAACAUCAAGUGAUCUUCAGUCUACCUCUGUCACGCUUGAAAGUACAAACAAGAGUAAAGGUAACCUGGACGAGGAGGAAGAAGGUGUGCAGCCGGCAGCAGAUGAAGAGCAGCCUUCAACCUCAGGACAGCAAGAGAACAGAGAGGCAGACCGAGAAGAGGAGAGAAAAGCUAAAAGAGCUUCCAGGAAGCAGAUAGGGUACCUGGAGAACCUGCUGAAGGUGUACAACGAGGAGAUCUGCCGCCUGCAGCAGGCUGAGCUGAGUCUCACUGACAUGGAAGCGGAGGACUCGUUAUACAUCCAGGAGCACAAACUCAAACGCAAGAUGAUGAAGAUUUAUGAGAAACUGUGUGAACUAAAGGGCUGCAGCACACUAACAGGCCGAGCCAUUGAACAGAGAAUCACCUACAAAAGCACUCGUUACCCUGAGAUCAACAGGAGGAUCGAGCGUUUCAUCAACAGUCCCGAGGUACGACAGAACCCUCCUGAUUACCAGGACAUCCUCCAGCAGGUGUUGCGUGCCAACGAUCGCCACAACCUCUGCUUGACCAGGAAGCAUAUAAACCAGAUCGCCCAGGAGGCGUUCAGAGAGACCGGGAGCCGCAUACAGGAGCGCCGUCACCUGGACCUCGUCUACAACUUUGGCUCUAGCCUCACCGACGCUUAUAAGCCUGCCACAGACCCGGCUCUGAAGGACCCCUCACUGCUGAAGAAACUGCGGUCGAACCGAGAAGUUGCUCUAACCAGCCUGGAGGAGGUCAUCAAGAAGUACGCUGUGAAACAGGACGACACGGAGGAGGAGGAGAGGAACAAACGACUGCAGAAAGACAGGAAGGACAAAGAGGGCCGCACGUCAGGAAAAAAAGUGGAAACUGAAGAGAUGAAUGGCGUGUCUGAGGAGGAGGAGGAAGAGGAUGAAGAUGAUGAAUCCUCAGAUCCAGACAUAGAGGAAGAGAUCCAGGCCAGCACUCAGCAGGAUGGACCAGAUGAAGAAGACGACGAGGAAGACGACAUUAACGAGGUGGAACAAGCGAGCGAAGGCACCCACAAGGAGGAUCAGAACGAUGAUCAGAUUGGACACGUUUCUGCAGGCGAAGAAGGAAGCUUGAAAGAUGAGGACGAGCAGGUUACGAGUCCUGCUUCUGAUGAGACCAAGUCCCAGAUCUCUCCACUGUCUGAUAUCCCUUCCCCCACAGAAAGCCCCAGCCAAUCAGAGCCCAUGCAGACUGAUGACCAGAGGCCGUUAUCGAAUGGCGACCACAAGAGCUUACAGGAACCUGCAGAUUCUUCCAGUCAUGAGUCAGUCGUCCUCUUAAACUACAACCAAGACGGAACGGGCCUCGCAGCAGCAGCCAAUGGGAAAGCAUCUCCGUCAUCGCCAGAAGACGGCGUGGAAAGGUGCGGCACGCAGACAAGCAAUGGCACGUCUCCGCCGCCCAGCCCCAGAACCACGAGGAGCCAGAAGAGGAAGUGGGAGGAAAGGAACUCGCAGAGUAGAAAAACCUAAUCAUCCACGACAGUGAUGCGGACAUCCCUCUGGAUAUGGGCGUUGUGAGCUGCAACUCUCCAGAGACCACCCGAGCAAACACGCCAACGCAGGAAGUGGUCAGCAGCUCGCAGUCCACACCGCCACCGAAGAAAAACAAGGUCAACGUGGCAACACAGUGUGACCCAGACGAGAUCAUCGUCCUGUCAGACUCGGAAUGACCUUUAACCUCUGAACUCUGACUAGCUUCUCACCUGCUCUCUUUGGUCGACUUCCUGAGGUUUCACAUCCUCCUCUUCCAGCUCGUGUUCGACGCAGAGACUUUUCUUCCGUUUUUGCGAACUACUUUGACAAAGUCCACGAGAGCCAUUUACAGCAGAGGAAGUCUGAGAGGUUUGAAGCAGAUAAAAGCCAACACGACUGUUUUUGUAAAGAACUGGAAUGAAAUUUUUGUGAUUCAAUGUGUAUAAACGCCAGCUGAAGCAGCAGGUUCUGGGAUGCCUCUGCUGUGCACUACAGAAUAAAGUUUUCAUUUGAUCCGAGCAGGGAAACUCGAGUUGACGCUGACCUCGGCUGCUUCUUGCUCUUUGGAUACGAAAACUAACCGCCGAUGCAAGCAGAGCAAAGCCACUCGUUGUGUCGCUAAAAAUGGUGAAAUACAUUCUGUUUUUUUACUGCUCUGAAGCUGAAAAUACUUCACUGGGAUUCUUUUUACUCGACCUGAACGCUGAUUUGUGGUUGGUGUGUUUUUAGGUAACAAUCAGUGCCUGAUUAAAAAAUGAACUGAGCAGUCAGACGUGAGGCCCAGAUGUUGAAUUUCACUGGUCAUGGCUGCUCUGGCAAACUUCCAGUUUGUUUACAUUUUUAUAUUUCAAAUCUGUUCUUUCUCAACAGAGCGGGCGGUGAGGUGAUGGUCUGUAUUAAAGUCUUUCUAUUGA
Molecule: RNA transcript, 3262 nt
Organism: Oreochromis aureus
Lineage: Eukaryota; Metazoa; Chordata; Actinopteri; Cichliformes; Cichlidae
Gene: daxx
Gene name: death-domain associated protein
Exons: 11
Source: RefSeq, a predicted model, not a curated record